This 581-nucleotide ribosomal RNA is filed under the name Salmonella enterica. RNAcentral's name for it is "bacterial SSU rRNA". It matches the Rfam family "Bacterial small subunit ribosomal RNA", at positions 522 to 1102 of the family's 1533-position model. The record is from RNAcentral. Lineage: Bacteria; Pseudomonadati; Pseudomonadota; Gammaproteobacteria; Enterobacterales; Enterobacteriaceae.
AAUACGGAGGGUGCAAGCGUUAAUCGGAAUUACUGGGCGUAAAGCGCACGCAGGCGGUCUGUCAAGUCGGAUGUGAAAUCCCCGGGCUCAACCUGGGAACUGCAUUCGAAACUGGCAGGCUUGAGUCUUGUAGAGGGGGGUAGAAUUCCAGGUGUAGCGGUGAAAUGCGUAGAGAUCUGGAGGAAUACCGGUGGCGAAGGCGGCCCCCUGGACAAAGACUGACGCUCAGGUGCGAAAGCGUGGGGAGCAAACAGGAUUAGAUACCCUGGUAGUCCACGCCGUAAACGAUGUCUACUUGGAGGUUGUGCCCUUGAGGCGUGGCUUCCGGAGCUAACGCGUUAAGUAGACCGCCUGGGGAGUACGGCCGCAAGGUUAAAACUCAAAUGAAUUGACGGGGGCCCGCACAAGCGGUGGAGCAUGUGGUUUAAUUCGAUGCAACGCGAAGAACCUUACCUGGUCUUGACAUCCACAGAACUUUCCAGAGAUGGAUUGGUGCCUUCGGGAACUGUGAGACAGGUGCUGCAUGGCUGUCGUCAGCUCGUGUUGUGAAAUGUUGGGUUAAGUCCCGCAACGAGCGCAAC